This 76-nucleotide small RNA is filed under the name Propithecus coquereli (Coquerel's sifaka). RNAcentral describes it as "Y RNA (ENSPCOG00000001692.1)". Lineage: Eukaryota; Metazoa; Chordata; Mammalia; Primates; Indriidae. The record is from RNAcentral.
CGAUGGUAGUGGGUUAUCAGAACUUAUUAACAUUAGUGUCACUAAAGUUGGUAUUCCAACUCCCACUGCUAAAUUU